This 911-nucleotide ribosomal RNA is filed under the name Intestinibacter bartlettii DSM 16795. RNAcentral's name for it is "bacterial SSU rRNA". It matches the Rfam family "Bacterial small subunit ribosomal RNA", at positions 57 to 1008 of the family's 1533-position model. The record is from RNAcentral. Lineage: Bacteria; Bacillati; Bacillota; Clostridia; Peptostreptococcales; Peptostreptococcaceae.
GCAGUCGAGCGAUCUUCUUCGGAGAGAGCGGCGGACGGGGGAGUAACGCGUGGGUAACCUGCCCUGUACACACGGAUUACAUACCGAAAGGUAUGCUAAUACGGGAUAACAUAAGAAAUUCGCAUGUUUUUCUUAUCAAAGCUCCGGCGGUACAGGAUGGACCCGCGUCUGAUUAGCUAGUUGGUGAGGUAACGGCUCACCAAGGCGACGAUCAGUAGCCGACCUGAGAGGGUGAUCGGCCACAUUGGAACUGAGACACGGUCCAAACUCCUACGGGAGGCAGCAGUGGGGAAUAUUGCACAAUGGGCGAAAGCCUGAUGCAGCAACGCCGCGUGAGCGAUGAAGGCCUUCGGGUCGUAAAGCUCUGUCCUCAAGGAAGAUAAUGACGGUACUUGAGGAGGAAGCCCCGGCUAACUACGUGCCAGCAGCCGCGGUAAUACGUAGGGGGCUAGCGUUAUCCGGAUUUACUGGGCGUAAAGGGUGCGUAGGCGGUCUUUUAAGUCAGGAGUGAAAGGCUACGGCUCAACCGUAGUAAGCUCUUGAAACUGGAGGACUUGAGUGCAGGAGAGGAGAGUGGAAUUCCUAGUGUAGCGGUGAAAUGCGUAGAUAUUAGGAGGAACACCAGUAGCGAAGGCGGCUCUCUGGACUGUAACUGACGCUGAGGCACGAAAGCGUGGGGAGCAAACAGGAUUAAAUACCCUGGUAUUCCACGCCGUAAACGAUGAGUACUAGCUGUCGGAGGUUACCCCCUUUCGGUGGCGCAGCUAACGCAUAAAUACUCGCCUGGGGAGUACGCUCGCUAGAGUGAAAUUAACAGAAUUGACUGGAUCCUGCCCAAUUAGCGGAACAUGUGCUUGACUCGUACCAACGGAAAAACCUUAGCAUUCCUGCUUCCUUGACGUGCCUAACGG